Molecule: RNA transcript, 2386 nt
Organism: Ipomoea nil (Japanese morning glory)
Lineage: Eukaryota; Viridiplantae; Streptophyta; Magnoliopsida; Solanales; Convolvulaceae
Gene name: protein ROOT PRIMORDIUM DEFECTIVE 1-like
Exons: 5
Source: RefSeq, a predicted model, not a curated record
AUUUUGGGUCCCUUUCCACUCACAAGUCACAAUCCUCGUUUCCAAAGACGAAAAUCCUCCUCCGCUAAUCCUCGUCGCCGACGCCUCCACCUCCUGCCUCGCCGGACGCCUGCUGCCGGCUGCCCUGCUCUGCUGCAAUCGAUAGUCGUCCUCCACCUCCAGUCUCGGCUGACGCUGUUGCCGGCUGCCCUGCUCCGCCGCUAAUCCUCAUCGCCGGACGCCUGCUGCAGUCGAACUCUAAGAAUGUCUUGGAUGGUUAUAAUGGAACACUCAUGGCAUACGGGCAAACUGGGACAGGGAAAACUUGCACUCUGGGACGGUUGGGAGAAGAAGAUACCGCUGACCCUGGGAUAAUGGUGAGUGCAAUGGAAGAUAUUCUUGCUGAAAUAUCACUGGAGACUGAAACAGUUUCUGUAUCUUACUUGCAGGAUUGGUGGUGGAUAUCCCCUGACUCAUGCCUCACCAAGUUGGUCUUCUUGGCAAACUCCAUUCUUCACUGUUUAGAGAAUGCCGACGAUCAAUGACCACCAGCAAGAGAGUGCAAGACCGGAGCAAGAAGAAGCGAGUGCAUGACCUUGAAAUUAUUGUAGAGAAGCACAAAAUUCUCUCCAAAAUCCUCUUCAUACUUGAAACUCUGAAGCAAGAGUCCGAGCAAAUCAUCCCUGUACGUUCCCUUGAUCAGUACCGGAGGCAAAUUAACCUCCCAAAACCUCACAAGUUCUCAGUUUUCCUUCGGAAAUGUCCCAAGCUUUUUGAGCUUUAUAAGGACCAGAGGGGAAUUUUAUGGUGCGGAAUGACUAAAGAAGCUGAAAAUCUGCUGCAUGAAGAGGAAGAACUCAUAGAAAAGAAUAGUGAUAAGGCUGCAGAGUUUGUGACUCGGAUGCUAAUGAUGUCAAUUGGUAAGCGUAUUAGUCUGGAUAAGAUUGUGCAUUUCAGGAGGGAUAUAGGGCUGCCACUGGAUUUUAGGAGCCAUUGGGUGCACAAAUAUCCCGAAUAUUUUCGAGUUGUGAGGCCUUUUGUGCCUUAUGAUGAGGGUGAGUAUUUGGAACUUGUGAAUUGGAAGUCUAGUUGGGCAAUUACUGAGUUGGAAAAGAAGGUGCUGGGUGUUAGCAAGGCCCCCGAAGAUUAUGUUCCAGGUUUUCUUUCUCUGUCUUUCCCAAUGAAGUUCCCACCUAACUAUAAGAAGCUGUCCAAGUACAGAGGUCAGAUUGAGAACUUCCAGAACAGGGAGUAUUUGUCCCCUUAUGCAGAUGCUAGUGGAUUAAAGGCUGGGUCACAGGAAUUUGAUAAGAGGGCAGUGGCUGUGAUGCAUGAAUUGCUUAGUUUUAUGAUUGAGAAGAGGCUUGUGACAGAUCAUUUGACACAUUUUAGGAGGGAGUUUGUGAUGCCUCAGAAGCUUAUGAGACUAUUGCUCAAGCAUUUUGGCAUCUUUUAUGUUUCAGAGAGAGGGAGGAGAUUUAAUGUGUUCCUGAACGAGCCUUAUGAAGGUUCAGAGUUGGUUGAGAAACAUCCUCUGGUUGUUUGGAAAGAAAAGGUUCUUAGCCUUGUUGGCUACAGAAAGAAGAAAGAUAAAGAAGAGACCUUGGAGGAUUUACAAGAAAGUGACACGGACUUAUUUGAGAUUGAUUCGGAAGAUUAUAGUGUUCAAUUAGCACAUGAGAAUGAGGAGGAGGAGAUGAGUGGUUUGGAGAGUGAUUCAAUUGAAAGUGACUCUGAAAUGGAGAUUGAAGAGAUUUACAAUGCAUAUAAAGUAUCUGAAUGAAGCCGUUCUAGUUUAACUGGCCUAGGGAUUCUUUAUUGCGGUCUGCUAUAUCUACAGUUGGCAAUCUACCUGCAGUCUUCUAAUGCUUUAAAAUUCUUAGGCCAGUAAUCGGUGAUGGAUCAUGAAAGUUACCAGAAAUUCAACACAUUAUGCAGUCAACUGGAUUAUGAUUUCGAAACUAUAAGUUAUCAUCCAUCGCUCAGAAAGUGCAUGUAGAUGUCAACAGCCUCAGUAACACAUCAAGGUUUAGGUAAUCGAGUGAUCAUUUGUUCCUUCGUUCUUGUUUGCACUAACAUAUUAUGAUACCCAGUGAAAAUUUUGACGUUUUGGACAAUGAAAUGCUGGUAGUUAUAUAGCUAAAAAGAUUACCAGCUCAGACUUGUGAAAUGGGUAUACGAAUGACUGAAUGAGUAUAGUGUUUUUUUGGUUUCAAUAUUUCUGUGUAUUUUUUUAGAGUUGAAAGGAUACUGCCCAGAAAAAUGUAUUAACCAAUAGUUUUUAUGUUCAUGUAACUUCUUAGUAGUAUUUACAAGGUUGAUUUUAUUUUCAAACUUGAAAGAAAUGGCUUUAGGCAUUAAGAGAAUUAUUUAUUUUGUACAAUAAAUAAACUUUUGUUUAUUUUAA